GGACACUUUCCGGCUACUGACUCCAGGUGGAGGUGGAUAUGGUAUUGCUGCGAACCCUGCCUAUGACAUUGAGAGAAGCAGAGAUUCCCAUGAACCCCCUCAGAAGAAGCAGAGGCAUGUCGAGAGAGGCAGUGUGUUUGAGUACACGCGGGCACAGGAGAGUGUCUAAGCUUUACAGAUUUUAAUGUCUGCUGAUAGAUGUAUACAGUGGGAUCUGUUAUGCAGAUGUUUGGUAGUAAGAGAAGAGAAGUGAAAGAGAAGGAGAGAAGACUAAUUGACUUUUUAUUAGGCAGAAAACUAUGUAGGUUUGAAGUAGUAAUUAGUAAUUACUAAUGUCAAAGCCAGCCAGUCAAAAAUUCUAUAAAGCUGAAACUAGAAGCAAUAAUCCCUACAAAUCAAGGGUGAUUCCAAUGCCUAGUAUGUGAAAGUAGGUAUUAACCUCGUAGUGACGGGCAUGCCUAUAGCCGUCAUAACAUAAUAAUAUGUGAUGUGUAUACCUAUCACAGCUCAUUUUAAUGAGCAAGUGGGUGGACCAGCUGUACACCACACCCAGCCAGAAAGGCUAUACUGUUGCAUAAUUAUUAUGUCACAGAAAACUCUGGCCCCAUCAUGAUAGGUUUAAUGUUACUAUAAGCACACCAUUUAGAUAUUUCUAGAUAUAUUGAUUGGGUAUCAUAGAGUUGUAUUAAACUUUAAGUAAGGUUUGAAUGUGCUAUGCAAAUUGUUAUAUAUACGGAGCUGGAUGCAACCCUAUUGUAUGUAUCAUGGUAAACAGUUGGAUAAUAAUAUUGUUCAUCUAAGAGUUAUGGUUAGCAUUAACACAAUAAUGAAUAACUUAACUUUUUAAAAAUAUAUAGCAAGAAUUGCAAAGGAUAUUCUAGACAUAGUUAGAAAGUUCAAGUUAUUAACGCACUUACUACGGGUUGCCCCACGUAUGAGACACCCGGAAAAAUAAACAUUGCUGGCCAGCUGGCCGGUGUGACACCAGACUCAGCCGUGCGCUGAUUUUGAAGCCACCUGGAAAAUAUUAUUUUCGGCUUAUAAAUGUACUGUCGCUAGUGGGUUAAUGAUAAUUUAGAUAAGCCAAAGUGUCCAUUAUAUUAGGCUAAGAGACUCAUGCUCAUAUUCAGUAAUGCUGGGCACCUUUAUUGUAGAGGAAAAGCCUUACCAUAACCAUAGGUUUAGGUCCCCCCUGACACAAUGAAGUUGGAGGUACUUUUAUGUGCUAUAUUGGCCCAUAGAUUGUCUUUCUUUGAUACAUUCCUUGGAUAAGAGAGAGCUCAGAUCUACAUAUUUUUCACUUUUUCCAUAAAAUUCAAUUGAGACUGAAAUUAUUGGUUUAAUACAUUUCUCAUUUUUUCUAUGUAACUAUCUUUCCAGGGGCCGCAGAUGGCAUAACUUAUGUGCAAUUUUAGUUAUUAAUUGCGUUUACACAGGAAUGGCCCCACCAAUGCCUAGUCAUCAAGGAGUUAGUUAUUAUUAGUUAUUAGUCCAACCCAUCUCACAUAUUUACUCUUUUUCUUGAUAUUUGGAAAGAUUCCUUUUUAUUUUUUAUUAUUAUUAUAUUAACAUUACAAUAAUCAUGAUGUCACUAAUAAUCACACUAACAGUAUUGAUAAUAUUAGACGAAAACAGUCUCAAAUUGAAAGAAUGAAGAAACAAAGUGCAGUCACUAUGGCCUACUAAUUAUCUCCUUGGUGGCUAAUUACUUGUGGAGCCAUCUGUAUUCAACAAAAUUCGCAGAUGUACCCCCGGCCAAUGGGUUAAUUUCAGAUAACUAAUUGUAGAAUUGUGUGAAUACAGAAAAGAUUUUACUUUACAAUGUCCCUUACAAAUUGCAGUACAUGUUUCUCCCACCGUGAUAUUUAUUCUAAAUAUAUUAAUUAUAAAUACUACCUCCUCUAAUUUGCAUUACGUCAUGAACUUCUCAUUAUGUGUUUAUUCUCAAUUCAUAUAGCUUUAGUUUACACAGAACUUCAGUAUUCAUUUGUCAAUAACAGGAUUGUUCCUUUCAUUAAAACCUCAAGGUCAUAGAGUUAAAUAUACCUUUGGUCUAUGUAAACUGUGACUCGUUUUCAUUUCUAAAGUACAAAUGCACUAGUAUUGGUUCUGUUUUUAUUUAUUUAUUUUUUUAUUUAUUUAUUAUUAUUAUUAUUUUUUAAAAUUCUUUUUACAAGCCUUUUUCAGUGUUGAAAUAAUGUACAAACCUUUACAAAUGACUGCUUUUUGGUACAAAGAAAAACAACAACUAAAAUCUGCAAAACUUCCAGCUUGUCUAUCCUGCCAUCAACAAAAAAGGCGUGAUUUUCAUUUCAUUUAGGUCAAAUUUUAUUGCAGACCUUUGAAGAGCUCAAUAUUGUGCACUAGAAAAUAUAUAUUUUAUUGCCUUUUCUCAAAUACGUGUCAGUAGAGCACAAAAUUGAGAUAAGUAUCAUACUUACCGUUAAUGUAUGGCUGAUAAUGAGGAGAGAUUACUUUGAAUAUGUAAAUAAGACACAACAAAUAUUUUCAUCUACAAGGAAAUAACUAUUUAGCUGUAUUUUCAUAAUAUCUAGAUGUAUAAAUCAUAAAGAGACAAUAUAUCAGAAUGUAACUCCAUGAUAUGUUAUAGGAUACAAGUGUGGAGGGGGAGUGUAAGAGAAAGAAAAGGUCUAGGGUAUUGUCUGGAUGAAAUGUGCCAUACAGUACCAGAAUUACAACUUCACACACAUUUGUUUUCAUUCAUAAGAUAGAGGUGGGUAAACAUGACUGUAAUUGGUUCAGGCAGAGGAACUCUACAAGAAGAUGAGGAGUGAUAGGAAUGAUAUUUUGACUGUGGGUGAAGGAAACUUGGCAAAUAGUACCAGAUAUAUUAGUGGACACUAAGUUCUUGUAAUUCCAAAUGACUAAGUUGUUGGGAAAAAAAUCCCAUCAGUUUUUGCCUGUCAUGCCCAUGGUGAAUAGGACUUGUGUGUACAUUUUGCAAAUACCCAUGAUCAAAGCAAAUGGGAUUUUAGGUGUUAAGAAUAAGAACAGGACAUAAAUGUAUCACAGUAAAAGAGGGUAUUCCCUUUUCAGCCUAUAAGUCAGUUAUAUUUUCUCCAAGAAGUGAGGUGCCCUUACACUUUUUAUAAGCCAAAAACAACAAGAGCCCCUGGCACCAUACUGAACCAUGUAUUAGGGUGCAUGCAGAAUCAGCUGCUUAGGGGGAAAUCAGAAGUGUGGGAAACACAAUUACUCUGCUCCUUAUGCACUUGGCUGCAGCAUAAAUCAUUGUGUUGCUAAUAAGGUUAAAAGAGGCUUUAGGUAUACUUUUGGCAUCAAAGCAGGCUAUUGUAACAUGAUAGGAUAUCUUCCUGUUGUGAAUGGGUUAAUAAAGGAUUAACACUCACAGUGGGAUUUCUCUGUGCCAUAACAAGCCACACACUAGGCGAUGUGUGAAGUCUGUGCAGGAAACACAUUUACCUCAUUCUCUACUCUGUCUUUGAUCAUUUUUAGGAAAUGAGGCCAAGAAGAGACUUUAUACCUCAAUCUCAGUCUCUUCAGGGCUAAACAAGGAAGGGGAAAAAAAAAGUUUAGCCUGCAUUCCUAAGAGCAGAGUUAACUGUUAAUGAAUGGGUGCUUUUCUCCCUACAUUUGGCCCAGUUUGCCAUGACAUGAUUAGAAUGUCAUCCAUCAGUACAGGUGGAUUAAGUUUUAGUAUUAGUUUAGUAUUUUUCUUUCCUUCUAUCCAAUAAGAAUAAGGUGUUUAUUUUUUGGUGUACCUCAGCCCCACCCCUUAUUUUCAUAUUUUCUAAUUACUAUCUUUCUUUUCUUUCUUUUAUUUCCUAGGUAUAUUUUAUGAUAAUUUAACCUAGUAAAGCCUGGUAAAAAAGUUUGGCAAGUGGACAUGAUUGCGGGGUUGUUGGCACAUGUCGACAGUUUCCUACUUGUGCCUGGCUCGUUCUGUAAUUUGUGACAUUCGGCACCUAAAAGCUUUUAUUUUGAUUUUUUUAAAUAUAAAAAUUUUGAAGCUUUACCCUCUUCACUUUAGGUGCUAUUGCCUAAUAACAUUACCAUAGAAAUGUAGCCACUACCAUUGGAGAAAAACAAACUCUGUUCGAUGAGCUGACGGUGUGGGAAUGGUUACGAUAUGAUGCCACCUGCUAUUCUGUCCACAAAAGCCAUGGCAUGUACAUACAUGCCACCUGGGUGCAAUGGGUUAAGAAAUAAAUAAGUGCCUAUGUAUUUGCUUAUGUAUUGUUCUCUUGUUAUGUUACUGUAUUGUUAAAAGUUUAUUGAUAAAAAUUAUUAAAAUAUAUAAGUAUAUGUAUAAAUGCCCAAACACAUUACACACACAUUUACACACAUACUUUCAUAUGCACACGUGCACACACAUACACAUGCAAAUGUUGAAUAAGACAAACAACUUAAACAUGGUGUUAUCUAAAUUAAAAUUUAACCUUUAAAAUUAA
This is a non-coding RNA of Penaeus vannamei (Pacific white shrimp), 4433 nucleotides long. The record is from RefSeq and is a predicted model, not a curated record. Lineage: Eukaryota; Metazoa; Arthropoda; Malacostraca; Decapoda; Penaeidae.